AGAACAGUUAAUGAAAAAGAGAAAGAAAACCCCAUGCAAAACUUUAAUCUCCCUUUUCUUCUCUUUCCGCAGCAGGGUCUCACCUUAGUUUUUCUUUUUCUUUUUCUUCUUCUCU
Molecule: non-coding RNA, 115 nt
Filed under: Aurantiochytrium limacinum
Lineage: Eukaryota; Bigyra; Thraustochytrida; Thraustochytriidae
Source: RNAcentral